This 468-nucleotide ribosomal RNA is filed under the name uncultured bacterium. Its description in RNAcentral is "partial 16S ribosomal RNA". It matches the Rfam family "Bacterial small subunit ribosomal RNA", at positions 28 to 507 of the family's 1533-position model. The record is from RNAcentral.
GACGAACGCUGGCGGCGUGCUUAACACAUGCAAGUCGAACGGAAAGGCCCUGCGCUUGUGGGGUGCUCGAGUGGCGAACGGGUGAGUAACACGUGAGUAACCUGCCCUUGACUGUGUGAUAAAUUCAGGGAACUGGGGCUAAAACCGGAUAGGAGCUCCUGCUGCAUGGGGGUGGUUGGAAAGUUUCGGCGGUGGGGGAUCGACUCGCGGGUUAUCAGCUUGUUGGUGGGGUAGUGGCGUACCAGGGCUUUGACGGGUAGCCGGCCUGAGAGGGUGAACGGGCACAUUGGGACUGCGAGAGGGACCAGUAUGGUACGGGCGGCAGUGGUGGGGAGUAUUGCAGAAUGAGGGCAAGCGUGAUAUAGAAGCCUUGCGUGCGUGAUGACGGCUUUCGGGUUGUAAACCGCUUUCGACGGUGACGUAGAGUGCGUGACGGUAAUGGGUAAAGAAGCAACGGCUAACUACGUG